This 67-nucleotide transfer RNA is filed under the name Phrynocephalus theobaldi orientalis. RNAcentral describes it as "tRNA-Phe". The record is from RNAcentral. Lineage: Eukaryota; Metazoa; Chordata; Lepidosauria; Squamata; Agamidae.
GUAUUAUGUAGCUUAAUAACAAAGCAUAGUGCUGAAGCCACUAAAAUGAGCCAACACUCCAAAUACA